CCGAGUUUACAACUCCCAAACCCAAUGUGAACGUUACCAAACUGUUGCCUCGGCGGGGUCACGCCCCGGGUGCGUAAAAGCCCCGGAACCAGGUGCCCGCCGGAGGAACCAACCAAACUCUUUCUGUAGUCCCCUCGCGGACGUAUUUCUUACAGCUCUGAGCAAAAAUUCAAAAUGAAUCA
This 182-nucleotide unclassified non-coding RNA is filed under the name soil metagenome. Its description in RNAcentral is "partial internal transcribed spacer 1". The record is from RNAcentral.